RNAcentral lists this ribosomal RNA (515 nucleotides) under uncultured bacterium. Its description in RNAcentral is "bacterial SSU rRNA". It matches the Rfam family "Bacterial small subunit ribosomal RNA", at positions 954 to 1468 of the family's 1533-position model. The record is from RNAcentral.
AAGCAACGCGAAGAACCUUACCAGGUCUUGACAUCCUCUGACACUCCUAGAGAUAGGACUUUCCCCUUCGGGGGACAGAGUGACAGGUGGUGCAUGGUUGUCGUCAGCUCGUGUCGUGAGAUGUUGGGUUAAGUCCCGCAACGAGCGCAACCCUUGAUCUUAGUUGCCAGCAUUCAGUUGGGCACUCUAAGGUGACUGCCGGUGACAAACCGGAGGAAGGUGGGGAUGACGUCAAAUCAUCAUGCCCCUUAUGACCUGGGCUACACACGUGCUACAAUGGAUGGUACAAAGGGCUGCAAGACCGCGAGGUUUAGCCAAUCCCAUAAAACCAUUCUCAGUUCGGAUUGUAGGCUGCAACUCGCCUACAUGAAGCCGGAAUCGCUAGUAAUCGCGGAUCAGCAUGCCGCGGUGAAUACGUUCCCGGGCCUUGUACACACCGCCCGUCACACCACGAGAGUUUGUAACACCCGAAGUCGGUGGGGUAACCGCAAGGAGCCAGCCGCCUAAGGUGGGAC